AUACAUAGGGGGCAAGCGUUAUCCGGAAUUAUUGGGCGUAAAGGGUGCGUAGGCGGUCUAUUAAGUCUGAGGUGUAAGUGCAGGGCUCAACCCUGUGAUGCUUUAGAAACUGGUAGACUUGAGUGAGAUAGAGGCAAGUGGAAUUCCAUGUGUAGCGGUAAAAUGCGUAAAUAUAUGGAGGAACACCAGUGGCGAAGGCGGCUUGCUGGGUCUAUACUGACGCUGAGGCACGAAAGCGUGGGGAGCAAACAGGAUUAGAUACCCUGGUAGUCCACGCCGUAAACGAUGAGUACUAAGUGUUGCGAGAACGCAGUGCUGAAGUUAACAUAUUAAGUACUCCGCCUGAGUAGUACGUACGCAAGUAUGAAACUCAAAGGAAUUGACGGGG
This 388-nucleotide ribosomal RNA is filed under the name uncultured bacterium. RNAcentral describes it as "partial 16S ribosomal RNA". It matches the Rfam family "Bacterial small subunit ribosomal RNA", at positions 523 to 918 of the family's 1533-position model. The record is from RNAcentral.